This is a long non-coding RNA of Tripterygium wilfordii, 640 nucleotides long. RefSeq lists it as uncharacterized. NCBI's taxonomy places the organism in Eukaryota, Viridiplantae, Streptophyta, Magnoliopsida, Celastrales, Celastraceae. The transcript is spliced from 2 exons. The record is from RefSeq and is a predicted model, not a curated record.
CAUUGUGCUCUACAGAACCAUGAUUUAGAAUAUGUUUAAGGAGGAAAAGAUUGUCUCUUCAGAGGUAACUCAAAGUUUCUCCAAUAACCAAUGUAAGAAAAUAGCAGUAGAAAAUUCCUUAUUAACGGUGUAUCCCGUAAUGAGGAGAAUCGUGCUGCGUAUAAAGCUGUUGUAACUCUUAAGCCUUCUAUGCUAACCCAAUUUUAUUUACUGUAUGAAAUUUAAUCAACCUUCAUUCAAUUUUCAAGAUAAAGCUCCUUAUGUAGGGAACACAGAGAAGGGGAAAAAGUGAUUACAAUAAAAAUAUGGAAGGUUACAAUGAGAAACAGGUAUAUUUUGUGGUGGUGUUGUGAGGAAGAGUUGCUGGUAGUUGGUUUAACUCAGUUGUGGCAAAGACGGAAAAAUAAAGUCGUAGUUCUUCAGCUUUGACACAAGAAAAAGAUUUGUAUUUGCUAUGUAGUAUUCAUUUUGUAAACGUAAAAGUGUUCCAGAGUUGGAAAAAGAGAUGAUGCGUAAAAUGUCCAAAUUUAAAGCUCAAACAAAAAACAAGAAAUUGAUACCCCUUGCCUUUUAGCUCUUCGAUUUGCUCUACAAGGCUCUCUGUAUUUUUUCCUUUAUAGUGCUUGGGUCUUUGUUCUUA